GGCCAUAACAACACACUGACAUCUCUAAGACACACGCCAGAUAUGGCAGUGGAAAAUGGACAGGAAUGUAAACAAAAGGACGCCAACACAAAAAAAAAAAGGAAACGGAACCCCCCCACACUGAGCCAUACCACGAUCCACCCACACCAGGGACCAGGGAAACGCGCCCAACGAGGGAAAACGCCCACAUUAUGCCAGACGAGUCAAAGCCACGGGAUGAUGCAGGCCUCUUCGCGGGACUCAGAUACACAAAUUAUAUAAAAGGGGAGAGAAGGAUUUAGGAACACGACUCAUCCGUGACGCAAUUGCACUCCCGUUCUGUGCGGCUCUGGUGCCACGACGACAACACCGAUUCCUGUUUCUUCCUUAAAAACCCUAGCAGCUGCGAUCCCCCAAACGGAAACCACUCCGACGGGUCAACUCGGCCGCUUCCUUUGCAGCUCGGUUUGCCGUCUUCUGGCCCACCGGCGCUACUCCUCCGUCCAUACUUGGAACGUCGAGGUCGCCAGUAUCCCGAAUUCUGUCUGGACCACUCGCGCUAGAAAGGCGAAGAACAUAAAACAUUCACGACGUACACUUUCUUCUCUUCUUUUUAGAUGGCUAAACUGUUCAGGAUACCCGGAUUGUUGCUUCGUUACUGGAUGUUAAUCGAGCACGGUCACCAAUCCUCGUUCCGAUGGCGCUAUUCUUUAGCCAUACGAGACGCAAGAAGCCGCCACGGACCAUCCUUCACAGACCCAGUCACGCCAAUUCCCAUUCUGCUCUCGAGAUGCUGGAUUAGAAUCGGACCAAGGGAUAUUCAGUAUUUAAAUUGGGCGCCAUUAUUGUUAUCGACCUGCUAGAUGAAAAAAACAAUAUCCUCAGCCUGGUCCCGCGUAUAUCGAUAGGGGCUCACUCCGGCUAGCUAUCGGAAAAGAAGGUCGUGAGUUACGAUAACCCAUCCCCAAUACGCGCAACAAUAAACAUCAGGAAUGAUGUCGUCGCCGCCGCUUCAUGUGAACCGGACCUCCUCUUCCGGAUUAUCGAGGUCGAACGGGCCCUCCCUUUCCUUCGUGGCAUGUCGAUGAGGUAUCCACUGUCAAAACCACACCAAGGGUCGUGGACAACAUGGAUCUUAGGAAUAAUGAAAUUUACAAAAAAAGGAAUGUGCACGUGGGCAACAAACAGGAGAAAAAUAAAUAUUUAACGCUAAACAAAAAUAAUAA
Long non-coding RNA from Drosophila willistoni, 1205 nucleotides. RefSeq lists it as uncharacterized. The record is from RefSeq and is a predicted model, not a curated record. The transcript is spliced from 7 exons. Lineage: Eukaryota; Metazoa; Arthropoda; Insecta; Diptera; Drosophilidae.